Molecule: ribosomal RNA, 408 nt
Filed under: uncultured bacterium
Lineage: Bacteria
Description: partial 16S ribosomal RNA
Rfam family: Bacterial small subunit ribosomal RNA
Source: RNAcentral
GACGAACGCUGGCGGCGUGCUUAACACAUGCAAGUCGAACGAAGUGGCGAACGGGUGAGUAACGCGUAAUCAACCUGCCCUUCAGAGGGGGACAACAGUUGGCAACGACUGCUAAUACCGCAUACUGAAGGAGGGGAUUGCGUCUGAUUAGCUAGUUGGAGGGGUAACGGCCCACCAAAGCGAUGAUCAGUAGCCGGUCUGAGAGGGGUACCGGCCAGAUUGGGAGUGUGUGACGGCCCAGAAUCGUAAAGGAGGCAGCAGUGGGGAUUCGUCCGCAAUGGACGAAAGUCUGACGGAGCAACGCCGUGUGAGUGAUGACGGCCUUCGGGUUGUAAAGAUCUGUUAAUCGGGACGCGGUACCGGAAUAGAAAGCCACGGCUAACUACGUGCCAGCAGCCGCGGUAAUAC